UACGAAGGGUGCAAGCGUUGCUCGGAAUUAUUGGGCGUAAAGCGCACGUAGGCGGCUUUUCAAGUCGGAUGUGAAAUCCCUCGGCUUAACCAAGGAAGUGCAUCCGAAACUGGAGAGCUUGAGUACUUAAGAGGAUCGCGGAAUUCCCGGUGUAGAGGUGAAAUUCGUAGAUAUCGGGAGGAACACCAGUGGCGAAGGCGGCGAUCUGGGAAGAUACUGACGCUGAGGUGCGAAAGCGUGGGGAGCAAACAGG
RNAcentral lists this ribosomal RNA (253 nucleotides) under uncultured bacterium. Its description in RNAcentral is "partial 16S ribosomal RNA". It matches the Rfam family "Bacterial small subunit ribosomal RNA", at positions 524 to 776 of the family's 1533-position model. The record is from RNAcentral.